RNA transcript from Piliocolobus tephrosceles (Ugandan red Colobus), 1627 nucleotides. It is a transcript of the gene named cytochrome P450 4F11-like, with no coding region annotated. The record is from RefSeq and is a predicted model, not a curated record. Lineage: Eukaryota; Metazoa; Chordata; Mammalia; Primates; Cercopithecidae. The transcript is spliced from 11 exons.
AUGUUGCUGCUGAGCCGGUCCUGGCUGAGCCUCCAGCCGUUGGCAGCAUCCCCACGGCUGCUCCUGAUGCUAGUUGGGGGCUCCUGGCUCCUGGCCCAUGUCCUGGCCUGGACCUACACCUUCUAUGACAACUGCCACCGGCUCUGGUGUUUCCCACAGCCCCCAGAACCCUGGCUUUGGGUCACCAGGGGCUGGUAAGUGUGGCAGCAGGAUGGGUGGGGGGCUCUCAAGGUGGAUGGACAUCCAGAGGGGUGGGAAUGGGCCUCACCCCACACCCAAAGUCCCUCCCUUACUGUUCUCCAUGGUUUCUGAUGGUCCUCAUUCAUGUCAGCCACCACUGCUCCAAAAGACAAGGCAUUUUACAAGUUCCUGAAGCCCUGGCUGGGGGGUGGGCUCCUGGUGAAUGCCAGUGACAAGUGGAGCCGCCACCAUCAGAUGCUGACGCCCGUCUUCCGUUUCAACAUCCUGAAGCCCUAUAUGAAGAUUUUCACUGACAGUGUGAACAUCAUGCACUGAGCCAAGUGGCAGCUUCUGGCCUCAGAGGGCAGUGCCCAUCUGGACAUGUUUGAACACAUUAGCCUCAAGACCUUGGAUAGUAUGCAGAAAUGUGUCUUCAGCUUUGACAGGCAUUGUCAGGAAAAGCCUAGUGACUAUAUUGCCGCCAUCUUGGAGCUCAGUUCCCUUGUGGCAAAAAGAAACCGGAAUAUCCUCUUGCACAUGGACUUUCUGUAUUAUCUCACCCCUGAUGGGCAGCAUUUCGGCACGGCCUGCCGCCUGGCGCAUGACUUCACAGAAGCCAUCAUCCAGGAGCAGUGCUGCACCCUUACUAGCCAGGGUAUUGAUGAUUUCCACCAAGUAAAGGCCAAAUCCAAGACUUUGGACUUCAUUGAUGUGCUCCUGCUGAGUAAGGAUGAAGAUGGGAAGGAGUUGUCUGAUGAGGACAUAAGAGCGGAAGCUGACACCUUCAUGUUUGAGGGCCAUGACACCACAGCCAGUGGUCUCUCCUGGGUCCUACAUCACCUCGCACAGCACCCAGAAUACCAGGAACGCUGCCGGCAAGAAGUGCGAGAGCUUCUGAAGGACCGUGAGCCUGUUGAGAUUGAAUGGGAUGACUUGGCCCAGCUGCCCUUCCUGACCAUGUGCAUUAAGGAGAGCCUGCGGCUGCAUCCCCCAGUUCCUGCCAUCUCCCGAUGCUGCACCCAAGACAUUGUGCUCCCAGACGGCCGGAUCAUCCCUAAAGGCAUUAUCUGCAUCAUCAGUAUUUUUGGGAUCCAUCACAACCCAAAUGUGUGGCCAGACCCUGAGGUCUACAACCCCUUCCGCUUCUACCAAGAGAACAUCAAGGAGAGGUCACCUCUGGCUUUUAUUCCCUUCUCGGCAGGGCCCAGAAACUGCAUUGGGCAGGCGUUCGCCAUGGCUGAGAUGAAGGUGGUCCUGGCACUCACGCUGCUGCGCUUCCGCAUCCUGCCGACCCACCUUAAGCCCGGCAGGAAGCCGGAGCUGAUAUUGCGUGCAGAGGGUGGACUUUGGCUGCGGGUGGAGCCCCUGGGUGUGAACUCACAGUGACUGUCCUACCCAUCCACCCACCUUUGUAGAUUCCCAGGAAUAAAACUAUGCUGACACCUCU